UCCGAAAGGUCGAAGGGAGAAAUUCAUUCGUGAAUCGCAGUCGACGUGAGACGGUCGCGUGACGGAAUUCGUUCGCGUUUUCCGCUCCUUCCGUUUUUCGAUUCGAUAGCGAACACGUGCACUUUUCUCCUGGUAGGACGUCGCGAUCCGUUGGGUGUCGGUCUACGGCUUGCGGUGGAGACCGGAUGUACGGCUUGCCGUCACGUUCGGACCCGCUCGUCCCGGCUGACUCGCUCGACGGUAGACGAACGGUUUAAGGCCGCUCUCUGGAGCGUUCGAAUCGUCGCAAGCGCGUCAGAUGUGUCGGUGAUCGGACCUGGUGCCGGUUCUGACCUCUGGCGACUGUUGGCGACGAAUUUCUCGAACAGACCUUCGAACCGAUCUGCGACGCUAUAGCUUUGGAUACUUUCAGGACCCGUCUUGAAACACGGACCAAGGAGUCUAGCAUGUACGCGAGUCAUUGGGAAUCACUAAACCUAAAGGCGCAAUGAAAGUAAAGGUCCGCCUCGCGCGGACUGAGGGAAGAUGGGCGGUUUACCCUUAAAAGUGGCCGCUCCGCACUCCCGGGGCGUCUCGUUCUCAUCGCGAGAAGAGGCGCACCAUGAGCGUACACGCUGGGACCCGAAAGAUGGUGAACUAUGCCUGGUCAGGACGAAGUCAGGGGAAACCCUGAUGGAGGUCCGUAGCGAUUCUGACGUGCAAAUCGAUCGUCGGAACUGGGUAUAGGGGCGAAAGACUAAUCGAACCAU
Molecule: ribosomal RNA, 749 nt
Filed under: Polydacrys sp. GZ37
Lineage: Eukaryota; Metazoa; Arthropoda; Insecta; Coleoptera; Curculionidae
Description: eukaryotic LSU rRNA
Rfam family: Eukaryotic large subunit ribosomal RNA
Source: RNAcentral